GUGCCAGCAGCCGCGGUAAGACAGAGGAGCCAAGCGUUGUCCGGAUUGACUGGGCGUAAAGCGCACGCAGGCGGUCGUGCACGUGGGGUGUGAAAACUGGCGGCUUAACUGCCAGAGGCCACCUCAUACGGCGCGACUCGAGCCAUGCAGAGGUCCACGGAAUUGCCGGUGUAGUGGUGAAAUGCGUAGAGAUCGGCAGGAACACCCAGGGGGAAACCAGUGGACUGGGCAUGUGCUGACGCUCAGGUGCGAAAGCGUGGGGAGCGAACCGGAUUAGAUACCCGCGUAGUCC
RNAcentral lists this ribosomal RNA (292 nucleotides) under uncultured bacterium. RNAcentral describes it as "partial 16S ribosomal RNA". It matches the Rfam family "Bacterial small subunit ribosomal RNA", at positions 505 to 796 of the family's 1533-position model. The record is from RNAcentral.